ACGGGGUGCAGCAGGCGCGAGACCUCCGCAAUACACGAAAGUGUGACGGGGUUACCCAAAGUGUUCAAUUUUGAACUGUGGUAGGCGAGUAAUGUCCCCUACUAGAAAGGAGAGGGCAAGGCUGACUAGAAUGAGGAUAAUAAAAUUAUAAUCCCUCUUCUAGGCCUAUGUGCCAGCCGCCGCGGUAAAACCAGCUCUUCAAGUGGUCGGGAUAAUUAUUGGGCUUAAAGCGUCCGUAGCCGGUUUAGUAAGUUCCUGGUAAAAUCGGGUAGCUUAACUAUCCGUAUGCUAGGAAUACUGCUAUACUAGAGGGCGGGAGAGGUCUGAGGUACUAUAGGGGUAGGGGUGAAAUCUUAUAAUCCUUGUAGGACCACCAGUGGCGAAGGCGUCAGACUGGAACGCGCCUGACGGUGAGGGACGAAAGCCAGGGGAGCGAACCGGAUUAGAUACCCGGGUAGUCCUGGCCGUAAACGAUGCAUACUAGGUGAUGAUACGGCCGUGAGCCGUGUCAGUGCCGUAGGGAAACCGUUAAGUGUGCCGCCUGGGAAGUACGGUCGCAAGGCUAAAACUUAAAGGAAUUGGCGGGGGAGCACCACAAGGGGUGAAGCCUGCGGUUCAAUUGGACUCAACGCCGGGAAACUUACCAGGGGAGACAGUAGAAUGACGGUCAGGUUGACGACCUUACCUAACGAGCUGAGA
RNAcentral lists this ribosomal RNA (699 nucleotides) under uncultured archaeon. Its description in RNAcentral is "bacterial SSU rRNA". It matches the Rfam family "Archaeal small subunit ribosomal RNA", at positions 325 to 985 of the family's 1478-position model. The record is from RNAcentral.